AUUGAACGCUGGCGGCAUGCCUUACACAUGCAAGUCGAACGGCAGCACGGGUGCUUGCACCUGGUGGCGAGUGGCGAACGGGUGAGUAAUACAUCGGAACAUGUCCUGUAGUGGGGGAUAGCCCGGCGAAAGCCGGAUUAAUACCGCAUACGAUCUACGGAUGAAAGCGGGGGACCUUGGGGCCUCGCGCUAUCGGGUUGGCCGAUGGCUGAUUAGCUAGUUGGUGGGGUAAAGGCCUACCAAGGCGACGAUCAGUAGCUGGUCUGAGAGGACGACCAGCCACACUGGGACUGAGACACGGCCCAGACUCCUACGGGAGGCAGCAGUGGGGAAUUUUGGACAAUGGGCGAAAGCCUGAUCCAGCAAUGCCGCGUGUGUGAAGAAGGCCUUCGGGUUGUAAAGCACUUUUGUCCGGAAAGAAAUCCUUGGCCCUAAUACGGUCGGGGGAUGACGGUACCGGAAGAAUAAGCACCGGCUAACUACGUG
This 486-nucleotide ribosomal RNA is filed under the name uncultured bacterium. RNAcentral's name for it is "partial 16S ribosomal RNA". It matches the Rfam family "Bacterial small subunit ribosomal RNA", at positions 30 to 507 of the family's 1533-position model. The record is from RNAcentral.